AAUCCUAAGCUCUCUCUCUCCAGAAUAGUAUGAAGCAUAGCCAUCAACAAUGGCUUAGAAACAGUAAAAUAAGGUUUCUGGUCGUCAAAGGGUAUUCUAGUAAUUUGGGUUUGAUUAUAGGCUUCAGCGUCCAUAAAAUAUGCUCAGCCCAUAUUCUGGCAUCACUGUCGAUCGACACCAAUGCUGCAACAUCGAUCGACAGUCUUUCAUCUCCUCGACAGCUUCCUCUCGCUAGGCAGAAUGACCACUCUUCGGUAAACCGAGCAUAACUGCUGCUACAGGAUGCGGAUUGACCUCAAACCGGUGGCAUUGGAAAGCUAACUCAACCCUCUAUCUUGUGUCAAAAGAUGGGCUCAAUCUAACAGUGGCAAGUUCUCCAUCCAUAGCUAGACAUCUGAUGCGUCUGUGCAGUAUUACAUAUAUCAACCUAUUGAGAAACCUAAACCUAACAGCAAGAACUACUCAGACAUAUUCACAAAGCACAUAGUUAUGAUGGUCUGAAUAAUACCCAAUAGAUAAAUAAAAACAGAAUAGAGUAAGAAACAAAGGGAAUUCAAGAUCUUCCCUCUCUCAAGGUGUACAGAUCUCUCUCUCCAAUCCUAAGCUCUCUCUCUCCAGAAUAGUAUGAAGCAUAGCCGUCAACAAUGGCUUAGAAACAGUAAAAUAGGGUUUCUGGUCGUCAAAGGGUAUUCUGGUAAUUUGGGUUUGAUUAUGGGCUUCAGCGAUCAUAAAAUAUGCUCAGCCCAUAUUCUGGCAUCACUGUCGAUCGACCCCAAUGC
This 779-nucleotide long non-coding RNA is filed under the name Brassica napus (rape). RNAcentral describes it as "long non-coding RNA (BNAP_LNC013444)". Lineage: Eukaryota; Viridiplantae; Streptophyta; Magnoliopsida; Brassicales; Brassicaceae. The record is from RNAcentral.